GAGCAUCGCCGGGACCGGAGCGGCCGCGGGUCCUGCACAGCCCCCCCUAUGAAGGGCGAGCCCCCCCCCAGCAGCACCCUGAGCGUGGGCCAGGCCCGGAAAAUGGUGGAGCAGCUGAAGAUCGAGGCCAGCCUGUGCCGGGUCAAGGUGUCCAAGGCUGCGGCGGAGCUGCUGAGCUACUGCGAGGCUCACGCCUGCGAGGACCCGCUACUCACGCCCGUGCCCACAUCUGAGAACCCCUUCCGCGAGAAGAAAUUCUUCUGCGCCCUCCUCUGAGCCCCCCAAAAUCCUGGGGGACAUCCCCAAAAAUUAUGAGUUCCCCCCCUCACAUUUCGGGCCACCUCCGUAAAAUUUCGGGCCGAUUUCACCCCAAAAAUGAGGCAGAAAUGAGGGGGAGGGUGGGGGUAAUUUGGGAGUUUUGGGGUCCACCCCACAGCUGGUACCUCCCCCCUAAAUUCGGGACCCCUUAAAAAAGCGCUGGGGUGGUCCCAGCUCAAAAUUUGGGGGGUUUCGGGUGGGUUUUGGGGGCAUUUUGGGGGUUCCCCCACCCCAAAAGGCUUCAAAGGAUGGACUCAGGGAAGGUUCUGGAAAUGCCCCCCAAAAAUCACCCCAAAAUUCCCCCUCCCCCAUCACUCUCCACCUCAAAAUGGGGACGCCCCCAAAAUUUUAGGACACGCCCAAAAGGUUAUCUCUCACCUCCCCCACCCCAAACUUCAGGGGUCUGCCUCCCUCACCCCAAUUGCGGCUCUAAGGGACCCCCAGGGGGGGAUAAAGGGGGGGUUCCCCAAAUUUUGGGGUGUCCCCCACCCACUCCCCAAAUAAACACUUGGCGGCACAGACGGGGCUGGGACUUUUUUGGGGAUCCCCCAAAAAAAAGGGAUUUGAGGGGGAGGAAGGUGAAAAUUUGGGGUGGGGAAGGGGGUUCCCCAAAAUUAAGGUGGGUGGGGAGGGGAAUUUUGGAUGGGGUGGGGGGGGGGGAAAGAUUGGAAUUUGGGGUUGGGGGAGGAGGAAAAGGAGGAAAGGGAGGAAGAGGAAGGAGGAGAAGGGGGAAGAAAAAUGGGGAAGAGGAGGAAGAAAUGAGGAGGAAGAGGAAAAUGAAAAAGGGGAUCACACCCAAUAUGGUGGCGCCCACACCUUCCCAUGGGCGCCUCCAUGACAUCCGCGCAUGCGCACCACACCCCCGGCUGCCCCAAGAUGGCGCCUCCCAGUACCCAAAAUGGCGGCGCCCAAAUCCAGAAUGGCGCCUCCCAGCACCCAAAAUGGCGGCGCCCACAGCCAAGAUGGCGGCGCCAACAGCCCGCCCGUUGCCAUGGCAACCCAGAGCAGGCCUGAGGCCUCAGAGCAGGCCCGGCCUGCGCAGGAAGGGAAAAUAAAUCAAUUAAAUCUUUU
Molecule: long non-coding RNA, 1389 nt
Filed under: Taeniopygia guttata (zebra finch)
Lineage: Eukaryota; Metazoa; Chordata; Aves; Passeriformes; Estrildidae
Description: lncRNA (ENSTGUG00000028014.1)
Source: RNAcentral